AAUAGGGGACCUUCCGCUUUAGAUUAGGAGCGAGCAGCGCAUCUCUGGGGAAAAAACAUCAUAGAACAACAUCAGAAACCUUUGUCUUUUGAAGAUAAAAAAUGGGCAACCCUACUUCUUCUUCCUCAUUUUCUAACCUAAAACACACAAGAACAGACUCUUUCCUUCAACACCAAUCCUACUAGCCCGCCUCGCAAUUCUCAUUUGCACCUCACACACACUAAAAUCAUGGAAGAGAAAUCAUCCUCUGAGGAUUAAAAGAAGACAACUAGAGUAGUCAAGACCCGGAGAAAUCUUCAUUGAAGAAAGAAAAGCAAACUGUGUCCGAAUUUCGCUUGGAAGUGGAGUGAUUGAUCUUCAAUUUCUGGGCGUUUUAUGACCCAUUUGAUUUUCUGUAAAUUUGUGAGCUAAUCUCUGGGUUUCGGAGAGUGAUUAAACUCUUAAAUCACUAUCGAGUGUUGCUGAUUCACUAUGUUGCUGAACUCUAGAUUCAUAUUUAUCAUUGUUUCUCUAUAUUCCGCUACAUCAAGGUACUCUUCUCGAUUUUGACCAUGUAACUUGAUUUGGAUAAUUCAUGUUCUAUGAAAAUUAAUUUUGUGAAGUUACAUGUUCUACUCUGUUAAGAGAAUGACUAUUAGCAUCGAUUUGUAUGCCAUGUUUAUGACUAAUUUCAUAGAUACAACAUGAGAUUUUCCUAUACCCUCUCAUAUGCUAUUUUUGUGUUAGUUUGUUUGUUGAACUAAGUGUUUAAAUUCAAAUCAUUCUUUGAAUCAGUUUGUUAAUCAUGGUUUCGAAUACUGUUUAUAACAUCCUUUGUGUUAGCUUGAAGUUCUGAUUUUCACUUAAGGUUGAAAGUUGAAAUUACAAAACCACACAUUAUUAGCUUAGUGGCUAUUGAUAGUAGACCUAUCUACAUGGUGCAGUAGUUGUUGUAUUUUAAGGAACUGAACUUAUUGGUCGCUCCUGAUGAAGAAUCUUUUGUGGCUCUAAUAAUUCUCUUUUUCUCAUUCGGGACUCUGUUGUUACCGAUGAGGUAUUCUCUCAGUUCAAUUCUUUCUGUCGGACGUGGAAAUGGGUAUUCAACCCUGGGAAUAUGAAGCCAUUGUUUCUUAGACUUGAGUCAUUGUUUGGAAUGCUAAUAAUCAUGUAGCCUUGAGAGUUGCUCAAGGGCGUAUAAUUUGUGAUGUCCAUUUCUUCUUGUUCUGAUAAGUGAUAACUUGAUUCUGUUUGAAGAUUUUAUUUCUUCUGCAAGUACAUAUUCUUAGAUGUAGAGAAAAAAGUUGAACUGUUAUUUGUAUUUUAUCAAGCUGAAAAGCUAGGGCAU
RNAcentral lists this long non-coding RNA (1324 nucleotides) under Nicotiana tabacum (common tobacco). RNAcentral describes it as "long non-coding RNA (NTAB_LNC009034)". The record is from RNAcentral. Lineage: Eukaryota; Viridiplantae; Streptophyta; Magnoliopsida; Solanales; Solanaceae.